This 809-nucleotide ribosomal RNA is filed under the name Bacteroidetes bacterium RIFCSPLOWO2_02_FULL_36_8. Its description in RNAcentral is "bacterial LSU rRNA". It matches the Rfam family "Bacterial large subunit ribosomal RNA", at positions 1 to 784 of the family's 2925-position model. The record is from RNAcentral. Lineage: Bacteria; Pseudomonadati; Bacteroidota.
AAAAUAAAGAAAAUAAGAAAGGGCGUAUAGGGAAUGCCUUGGCUCUCAUAGUCGAAGAAGGACGUGACAAGCUGCGAUAAGCUCCGGGGAAGUGCUAAUAACUGGUGAUCCGGAGAUUUCCGAAUGGGGAAACCCGUGGCGCUGAAGGCGCCACACUCCGAUGCAAAUCGGAGAGGCAACCUGCUGAACUGACACAUCUAAGUAAGCAGAGGAAGAGAAAACAAUAGUGAUUUCCUUAGUAGCGGCGAGCGAAACGGAAAUAGCCCAAAACUGUUUAGUUUCGGCUAAACAGUGGUUGCAGGACCUCAAUAUGAAGAUAAAAUUCAACUUGAAUUAUUCUGGAAAGGUAAGCGAUACAGGGUGAUAGCCCCGUAAAGGUUAGAUUUUAUCGGAUAGAGGUAUCCUAAGUACUGCGGGACAUGUGAAAUCCUGUAGGAAUCUGCCAGAACCAUCUGGUAAGGCUAAAUACUAAUGAGAGACCGAUAGUGAACCAGUACCGCGAGGGAAAGGUGAAAAGUACUUCGAACAGAAGGGUGAAAUAGUACCUGAAACUAUACGCUUACAAGCUGUAGGAGAUGAAAAUUAUCCGGGCAACCGGUAUAAUGAGUAAUUGACUGCGUGCCUUUUGCAUAAUGAGCCUACGAGUUACUCCUCUCUAGCAAGGUUAAUCCCGACACUGUCGGGAGGAGCCGUAGCGAAAGCGAGUCUGAAUAGGGCGCUUUAGUUAGAGGGGGUAGACGCGAAACUUUGUGAUCUACCCAUGGUCAGGAUGAAGGUCUGGUAACACAGACUGGAGGUCCGAACAAGUA